Molecule: ribosomal RNA, 661 nt
Filed under: uncultured archaeon
Lineage: Archaea
Description: bacterial SSU rRNA
Rfam family: Archaeal small subunit ribosomal RNA
Source: RNAcentral
UUGAUCCCGCCGGAGGCCACAUGACUAUCGGGGUCCGACUAAUGCUUAUGCGAGUCAAGGGGGUGUCCCUCUGGGACACCACCGGCGGACGGCUCAGUAACACGUCGGUAACCUACCCUCGGGAGGGGGAUAACCCCGGGAAACUGGGGCUAAUCCCCCAUAGGCCUGAGGUACUGGAAGGUCCUCAGGCCGAAAGGGGCUCUGCCCGCCCGAGGAUGGGCCGGCGGCCGAUUAGGUAGUUGGUGGGGUAACGGCCCACCAAGCCGAAGAUCGGUACGGGCUGUGAGAGCAGGAGCCCGGAGAUGGACACUGAGACACGGGUCCAGGCCCUACGGGGCGCAGCAGGCGCGAAACCUCCGCAAUGCGGGAAACCGCGACGGGGGGACCCCGAGUGCCGUGGCAUCGCCACGGCUUUUCCGGAGUGUAAAAAGCUCCGGGAAUAAGGGCUGGGCAAGGCCUGUGGCAGCCGCCGCGGUAAUACCGGCGGCCCGAGUGGUGGCCGCUAUUAUUGGGCCUAAAGCGUCCGUAUCCGGGCCCGUAAGUCCCUGGCGAAAUCCCACGGCUCCAACCGUGGGGGCUUGCUGGGUGAUACUGCCGGCCUUUGCGUACCUUGGAGAAGGCAGGGGGGGUUACCCCCUUGGGGUAAGGGGUUGAAAAUCCU